GAUGAACGCUGGCGGCGUGCCUAAUACAUGCAAGUCGAGCGAACGGACGAGAAGCUUGCUUCUCUGAUGUUAGCGGCGGACGGGUGAGUAACACGUGGAUAACCUACCUAUAAGACUGGGAUAACUUCGGGAAACCGUAGCUAAUACCGGAUAAUAUUUUGAACCGCAUGGUUCAAAAGUGAAAGACGGUCUUGCUGUCACUUAUAGAUGGAUCCGCGCUGCAUUAGCUAGUUGGUAAGGUAACGGCUUACCAAGGCAACGAUGCAUAGCCGACCUGAGAGGGUGAUCGGCCACACUGGAACUGAGACACGGUCCAGACUCCUACGGGAGGCAGCAGUAGGGAAUCUUCCGCAAUGGGCGAAAGCCUGACGGAGCAACGCCGCGUGAGUGAUGAAGGUCUUCGGAUCGUAAAACCUUGUUAUUAGGGAAGAACAUAUGUGUAAGUAACUGUGCACAUCUUGACGGUACCUAAUCAGAAAGCCACGGCUAACUACGUGCCAGCAGCCGCGGUAAUACGUAGGUGGCAAGCGUUAUCCGGAAUUAUUGGGCGUAAAGCGCGCGUAGGCGGUUUUUUAAGUCUGAUGUGAAAGCCCACGGCUCAACCGUGGAGGGUCAUUGGAAACUGGAAAACUUGAGUGCAGAAGAGGAAAGUGGAAUUCCAUGUGUAGCGGUGAAAUGCGCAGAGAUAUGGAGGAACACCAGUGGCGAAGGCGACUUUCUGGUCUGUAACUGACGCUGAUGUGCGAAAGCGUGGGGAUCAAACAGGAUUAGAUACCCUGGUAGUCCACGCCGUAGACGAUGAGUGCUAAGUGUUAGGGGGUUUCCGCCCCUUAGUGCUGCAGCUAACGCAUUAAGCACUCCGCCUGGGGAGUACGACCGCAAGGUUGAAACUCAAAGGAAUUGACGGGGACCCGCACAAGCGGUGGAGCAUGUGGUUUAAUUCGAAGCAACGCGAAGAACCUUACCAAAUCUUGACAUCCUUUGACAACUCUAGAGAUAGAGCCUUCCCCUUCGGGGGACAAAGUGACAGGUGGUGCAUGGUUGUCGUCAGCUCGUGUCGUGAGAUGUUGGGUUAAGUCCCGCAACGAGCGCAACCCUUAAGCUUAGUUGCCAUCAUUAAGUUGGGCACUCUAAGUUGACUGCCGGUGACAAACCGGAGGAAGGUGGGGAUGACGUCAAAUCAUCAUGCCCCUUAUGAUUUGGGCUACACACGUGCUACAAUGGACAAUACAAAGGGCAGCGAAACCGCGAGGUCAAGCAAAUCCCAUAAAGUUGUUCUCAGUUCGGAUUGUAGUCUGCAACUCGACUACAUGAAGCUGGAAUCGCUAGUAAUCGUAGAUCAGCAUGCUACGGUGAAUACGUUCCCGGGUCU
This 1372-nucleotide ribosomal RNA is filed under the name uncultured bacterium. RNAcentral describes it as "bacterial SSU rRNA". It matches the Rfam family "Bacterial small subunit ribosomal RNA", at positions 28 to 1381 of the family's 1533-position model. The record is from RNAcentral.